GGGAUAUCCAGAUUUGUACUACAUGUACUAGGGUGAUCCUUGAUUGUACCCAAUUUCUAGUAGGAUUCAGGAUAAUACUAAACAUAAUAGAACAAUUAACCAGAUUGUAAGAUCGAUACUUUUUCCUGACAGAAGAUAGAAGAGUAAUGCUGAAAUAUUUGCAUUCUAAUUUCUGAAUGACUUAAAUCAAUUAUUGACGAUGCCAUAUUGCGGAGAUUCCUCAAACAACUUUAAGCAUUCAAUAAAGCACUAAUGAAGCAUUU
Mytilus trossulus (common blue mussel) is the source of this 263-nucleotide long non-coding RNA. RefSeq lists it as uncharacterized. NCBI's taxonomy places the organism in Eukaryota, Metazoa, Mollusca, Bivalvia, Mytilida, Mytilidae. The transcript is spliced from 2 exons. The record is from RefSeq and is a predicted model, not a curated record.